RNAcentral lists this ribosomal RNA (449 nucleotides) under uncultured bacterium. RNAcentral's name for it is "partial 16S ribosomal RNA". It matches the Rfam family "Bacterial small subunit ribosomal RNA", at positions 29 to 523 of the family's 1533-position model. The record is from RNAcentral.
AACGAACGCUGGCGGCAUGCCUAACACAUGCAAGUCGAACGAGAUCUUCGGGUCUAGUGGCGCACGGGUGCGUAACGCGUGGGAAUCUGCCCUUUGGUUCGGAAUAACAAUUGGAAACGAUUGCUAAUACCGGAUGAUGACGAAAGUCCAAAGAUUUAUCGCCAGAGGAUGAGCCCGCGUAGGAUUAGCUAGUUGGUGUGGUAAAGGCGCACCAAGGCGACGAUCCUUAGCUGGUCUGAGAGGAUGAUCAGCCACACUGGGACUGAGACACGGCCCAGACUCCUACGGGAGGCAGCAGUGGGCAAUAUUGGACAAUGGGCGAAAGCUUGAUCCAGCAAUGCCGCGUGAGUGAUGAAGGCCUUAGGGUUGUAAAGCUCUUUUACCCGGGAUGAUAAUGACAGUACCGGGAGAAUAAGCUCCGGCUAACUCCGUGCCAGCCGCCGCAGUAA